CGGAGGAUCCAAGCGUUAUCCGGAAUCAUUGGGUUUAAAGGGUCCGUAGGCGGGUUUAUAAGUCAGUGGUGAAAGCCCAUCGCUCAACGAUGGAACGGCCAUUGAUACUGUAGAUCUUGAAUUAUUAGGAAGUAACUAGAAUAUGUAGUGUAGCGGUGAAAUGCUUAGAGAUUACAUGGAAUACCAAUUGCGAGGGCAGGUUACUACUAAUGGAUUGACGCUGAUGGACGAAAGCGUGGGUAGCGAACAGGAUUAGAUACCCUGGUAGUCCACGCCGUAAACGAUGGAUACUAGCUGUUCGGAGCAAUCUGAGUGGCUAAGCGAAAGUGAUAAGUAUCCCACCUGGGGAGUACGUUCGCAAGAAUG
RNAcentral lists this ribosomal RNA (366 nucleotides) under uncultured organism. Its description in RNAcentral is "bacterial SSU rRNA". It matches the Rfam family "Bacterial small subunit ribosomal RNA", at positions 526 to 896 of the family's 1533-position model. The record is from RNAcentral.